Molecule: long non-coding RNA, 1290 nt
Organism: Astatotilapia calliptera (eastern happy)
Lineage: Eukaryota; Metazoa; Chordata; Actinopteri; Cichliformes; Cichlidae
Source: Ensembl
UUUUUCUUCUUUCUUCUUUCUUUCACAUGCCUGGUGGGCGGUGCCACCCGAUCACAAGGGCUGGCAAGGCUUUCGGAGCCUGGGGAGCGGACACCCGCACAAAGGGUGGCCAGGCGGCCCGGUCCGGGUUUUUUCUUCCUUCUUUCACAGCGCUGGGGGGCGGUGCCACCCGAUCACAAGGGCUGGCAAGGAUUUCGGAGCCUGGGGAGCGGACACCCGCACAAAGGGUGGCCAGGCGGCCCGGUCCGGGUUUUUUCUUCUUUUCUUCUUUCUUUCACACGCCUGGUGGGCGGUGCCACCCGAUCACAAGGGCUGGCAAGGCUUUCGGAGCCUGGGGAGCGGACACCCGCACAAAGGGUGGCCAGGCGGCCCGGUCCGGGUUUUUUCUUCUUUCUUCUUUCUUUCACACGCCUGGUGGGCGGUGCCACCCGAUCACAAGGGCUGGCAAGGCUUUCGGAGCCUGGGGAGCGGACACCCGCACAAAGGGUGGCCAGGCGGCCCGGUCCGGGUUUUUUCUUCUUUUCUUCUUUCUUUCACACGCCUGGUGGGCGGUGCCACCCGAUCACAAGGGCUGGCAAGGCUUUCGGAGCCUGGGGAGCGGACACCCGCACAAAGGGUGGCCAGGCGGCCCGGUCCGGGUUUUUUCUUCCUUCUUUCACACGCCUGGUGGGCGGUGCCACCCGAUCACAAGGGCUGGCAAGGCUUUCGGAGCCUGGGGAGCGGAUAUCCCCACAAAGGGUGGCCAGGCGGCCCGGUCCGGGUUUUUUCUUCUUUCUCUUUCUUUCACACGCCUGGUGGGCGGUGCCACCCGAUCACAAGGGCUGGCAAGGCUUUCGGAGCCUGGGGAGCGGAUAUCCCCACAAAGGGUGGCCAGGCGGCCCGGUCCGGGUUUUUUCUUCCUUCUUUCACACGCCUGGUGGGCGGUGCCACCCGAUCACAAGUGCUGGCAAGGCUUUCCGAGCCUGGGGAGCGGACACCCGCACAAAGGGUGGCCAGGCGGCCCGGUCCGGAGUUUUUCUUCUUUUCUUCUUUCUUUCACACGCCUGGUGGGCGGUGCCACCCGAUCACAAGGGCUGGCAAGGCUUUCGGAGCCUGGGGAGCGGACACCCGCACAAAGGGUGGCCAGGCGGCCCGGUCCGGGUUUUUUUCUUCUUUUCUUCUUUCUUUCACACGCCUGGUGGAAAAUUUACCUUCUCGCUGUUGACUAUCAAUCUAGAUUUGUUGAGAUUUCUUUGUUAAACAGAACAAAAUCAAACAAUGUCAUUACUCACGUGAAAUCUUUCUUUGCCC